Molecule: ribosomal RNA, 1367 nt
Filed under: uncultured bacterium
Lineage: Bacteria
Description: bacterial SSU rRNA
Rfam family: Bacterial small subunit ribosomal RNA
Source: RNAcentral
AUUUGAACGCUUGGCGGCAGGCCUAACACAUGCAAGUCGAGCGGUAGCACAGAGAGCUUUGCUCUCGGGUUGACGAGCGGCGGACGGGUGAGUAAUGUCUGGGAAACUGCCUGAUGGAGGGGGAAUAACUACUGGAAACGGUAGCUAAUACCGCAUAACGUCGCAAGACCAAAGUGGGGGACCUUCGGGCCUCAUGCCAUCAGAUGUGCCCAGAUGGGAUUAGCUAGUAGGUGGGGUAACGGCUCACCUAGGCGACGAUCCCUAGCUGGUCUGAGAGGAUGACCAGCCACACUGGAACUGAGACACGGUCCAGACUCCUACGGGAGGCAGCAGUGGGGAAUAUUGCACAAUGGGCGCAAGCCUGAUGCAGCCAUGCCGCGUGUGUGAAGAAGGCCUUCGGGUUGUAAACACUUUCAGCGGGGAGGAAGGCGGUGAGGUUAAUAACCUCAUCGAUUGACGUUACCCGCAGAAGAAACACCGGCUAACUCCGUGCCAGCAGCCGCGGUAAUACGGAGGGUGCAAGCGUUAAUCGGAAUUACUGGGCGUAAAGCGCACGCAGGCGGUCUGUCAAGUCGGAUGUGAAAUCCCCGGGCUUAACCUGGGAACUGCAUUCGAAACUGGCAGGCUAGAGUCUUGUAGAGGGGGGUAGAAUUCCAGGUGUAGCGGUGAAAUGCGUAGAGAUCUGGAGGAAUACCGGUGGCGAAGGCGGCCCCCUGGACAAAGACUGACGCUCAGGUGCGAAAGCGUGGGGAGCAAACAGGAUUAGAUACCCUGGUAGUCCACGCCGUAAACGAUGUCGAUUUGGAGGUUGUGCCCUUGAGGCGUGGCUUCCGGAGCUAACGCGUUAAAUCGACCGCCUGGGGAGUACGGCCGCAAGGUUAAAACUCAAAUGAAUUGACGGGGGCCCGCACAAGCGGUGGAGCAUGUGGUUUAAUUCGAUGCAACGCGAAGAACCUUACCUGGUCUUGACAUCCACAGAACUUUCCAGAGAUGGAUUGGUGCCUUCGGGAACUGUGAGACAGGUGCUGCAUGGCUGUCGUCAGCUCGUGUUGUGAAAUGUUGGGUUAAGUCCCGCAACGAGCGCAACCCUUAUCCUUUGUUGCCAGCGGUUAGGCCGGGAACUCAAAGGAGACUGCCAGUGAUAAACUGGAGGAAGGUGGGGAUGACGUCAAGUCAUCAUGGCCCUUACGACCAGGGCUACACACGUGCUACAAUGGCAUAUACAAAGAGAAGCGACCUCGCGAGAGCAAGCGGACCUCAUAAAGUAUGUCGUAGUCCGGAUUGGAGUCUGCAACUCGACUACACGAAGCUGGAAUCGCUAGUAAUCGCGGAUCAGAAAUGCCGCGGUGAAAUACGUUCCCGGGUCU